AGAAGACCAGUCAUACCCGUUACAAACCACACCACGGAAGCUGUCUUAGUGGGGGCACUUAUCAGUUAACCAAGUGUUGGUCCUUUUCUCAUAUGGCCUAGGUCAAAGUUCUGAGUCACUGUGAACAGACCAUAAUUUUCCAAAAAUGGUAAACACAAUGCACCCUUGCUCUUUCGAGCGCUGGCCCAGAACACAAGCAGGUUUAGGUUAAAAGUUUCACUAGGAUCUGUAAGACCGAUACCACUACAGACAUCUGUGGACAGACAGGCACGCAUAGUGAGGACACCUGUAACCGGGAGCAUUUAACAAACCUGAAAUCGGUGAUAACCACAGCACAAGGAUACAAUAUACAGACUGUUCUUGGGAAAGUUCUGCAUCUUUAAAUAUUAGCACGUACCCUUGUCCUUCAACUGGCCAUGUGUGCAGGGAAAAGACCUAAAAAGUACACUAUAAAGCAGAGCCACUGAAGACCCGCUAAGGGAAGCUGCUUCCAGGAGAGGAACCAGCCGGAGAGAAAGAAGUCUGCUGCAGUCAACAAAGAUGAAAGGAGUUGGAGAUCUAAAGAGUGCUUUGACAUCAGACACGGCGAUGCAGAGUCUGGAGUUUGCCCAACAUUUAGUUUUGGUCCAGUAUUUCCUCACGACGACAUUUUGGUCGUAUAUCCUAUGAUGCUGAAGGUAUGCAAUCUGCUUUUUGAUUUUGAUUUUGAUUUUAUAGGACAUUACAGCUAAGUGAUUGGAUGAAUCUAAGAAGAGACUUUGAACUUUGGAUUUUUAACAUUGUUGAGACUGUUGAAGAUGAUGGGACUUUUGAUGUUGGACCAAAUUUAUUUUGCAUUAUGGUAUGGCUAGGUAUGGCCUGGACUGACUCGUGUUUGAACAAGCCUAAGGGGCCAGGAAAUGGAUUGUGAUGGUUUGAAUAUGUCCCAUGGAAAAUAACACUAUUAAAAGGUAUGGUCCUAAAGUAGGUGUGACCUUGUAGGAGGAAGUGUGUCACUGCAGGGGUAGGCUUUGAGAUCCUCCUUCUAACUUCUUAGAAGUCAGAUUUCUCCUGAUCCUUCAGAUGAAGAUGUAGAACGCUCAGUUCCUCCCACACCAUGCCUGCCUAGAUGCUGCUAUGUUCCUGCCUUGAUGAUAAUGGAUUGAACUCUGAACCUGUAAGCCAGCCUCAAUUAAUGUUGUCCUUUUAAGAGUUACCUUGUCUGUUCACAGCAAAGGAAACCCUAACUAAAGACAGUGUGAAAGUGCAAGUGGACUGACUGAAAAUAUUGUCUAUUUCCUUUUAAGACCGUAAGUGACCUCAUCCAAGGCUUGCUGUGUUUCCUUUGAGACUACUGUAUUCUUUUUCUCCCUACUCUGAGUAAUUUACUCGGAAUUCUCAUUCUGAAUAGCUUGCAAAACCUAAUGAAAGAUAUCACUUCAGUAAUCGAUAAGUUGCUUGAGUAUGGUUUAUAAUGAUGAAAGUGGUUAAGUUUCUACAUUCUGUUUAUAGGUAAGAACUUCACAACAACAAACAAGACCCUUGCUACUGCCUCAAAUGGUUUUGUGACAAAAUAAGAAAACUUAUCUGUGGAGGAAAGUGACCAUCCAAAAAAAAGUGUCCAUAAAGCUGAAAAAGCUCAACACAAAACAGAGGAAAAGAGAAGAAAACCCAAUAUAUUUCACUAUGAUUAAAACCAAAACCUACAGUACACUAAAACUGUCCCCAAAUUUGGUACUUUUUUUCUAGUUUUAUUAUUGGAUAGUAUAAACUUUACAAAGUAGAACUUCUUUGAGUUUAUGUUUAGAAUAGAAGGGUCACAUUGACUUCUGCAUAACUAGGAGAAGACAAAUUGUGAGAUUAAAACACAAAUUUAUCACACUGGUAAUUUCAUGGAUGGUAUGAUAUGUAGAUGAAUAUCUAUAUAUUGGUAAGAAUUUACUUCUCUAUCUCCUUUUUACUAUAUAGAAACGGUAACCAGAUAGAUGGUACUAACAGAAGUUUAGCAAUGCUAUCGUUGAGAAGAAAGAGAAAUAAAUGGUUAAACUUCCUUAAAAAUCUCAGUUUAAGUCAGGCAGAAAGGUUCAUGUAGUAUUAGCAGUUGAAAAGCUGAGGCAGGGCGAUUGCCAUGAACUCUUAUAGGGCAGCUCUGGCCACAGAAUAAGCUCCAGCCUAUGUCACAAGUGAGACUUCUUUUAAGAAAAGCAAAACAAAGAGAAAGAGAAAAAAAAAUCAGAAACCACCAGUAAAAUCAAACAAAUGUACUUUUGGCCAAGGAGAUCCGAGAGGUUCACAGCUCCAAACGAAUCAACAACUGAAUGCUUUAUACUGUAUGUUUGUUUAUGGACUUUUAAAGCAGUAAUGUUUGUGUGAAUACCAGAUUGUUGGAGGUUAGGAGAGACUUGACUUUGUAAAUAUUGACUGUGCCACGAAUAAGAUAUUAAAAUGGUUCUCAGACUUGUGAGAGCAACCUAAA
Mus musculus (house mouse) is the source of this 2455-nucleotide long non-coding RNA. RefSeq annotates it as predicted gene, 30569. The record is from RefSeq and is a predicted model, not a curated record. The transcript has 2 exons. NCBI's taxonomy places the organism in Eukaryota, Metazoa, Chordata, Mammalia, Rodentia, Muridae.